UACUCCAUAACACCCAUCGGCUCCCUCUUCUCUUUUCCAAAUGAAUUUUCCCAAAUUGAAUACCAAUCCCUAACUUCUCCAUUUUACCCCUUUCUUCUCGGCAAAUUUCGCCGUUGCGCCGACCGUCGCCGGCGUCAUCGCUUCCGGCAAUUCAGCACCGACGCAAGCAUCUCCGGCUGAGGCAAUGCCGUCGGUCUGCCGUCGCUGCUGGUUCGAGACCUAGAAGUCGGAGCUCCGCCGUCAGUUUAGAGCCGCCAUCAUCGGCUCCUACAACGAUGACGCCCCGUCUGUCGGGUUUGAGUUUGAGAGCCUCUUUCUCGUCCUCUGCUCCUGCUGAUGCCUUGCACGAGUAGCUACUGCUUCACCGCUGUCAAGUGCCGUUACUGCCCCGAUGAGUCCGUGUGGCUACCUUCAUGGCCUCACCGUCACCGGUAGUCAUUGGGCAGCCCUUCCGGCCCUAAAGCUAAGUUCUUUUUGCCUUAACACACUUAGUUUGAUUGAUUGUGAAUUUUGGGCAGUAGCUAUGUGGUGCUAAAGCUUUGUUCUUCGUUGGUAGUCAUGAUAAUUUAUUACUGAUCUUGGGCUAAAAGAAAUCAUAUGAUAUUUCUUGUUCCAAGUUGUGUGAAUUGGAGAUCCUAAAGCUUUUAAGUUCUUUGAGCAUGAGGUUCUAAUGAGAUGCAAGAGGGGAGUAUUUUGAUUACCUGUUGUGGAGCUAUGAAAAGUGUGGAUGAACUCCCCCUUUGCUGCUUAGUUCUCGGUCCUCACAGAACAGAAAUAUGCUGAAUUUCAGAUGUGGUGUAAGGGAAGAUUGAGGGUGGUAAGGAUGGGUCUUUAUAGGUGAUUUGGUAACUGCAAAAUCUGCAACUCUUGAUCCUCUUGCAGGGACAUUUUUGUUGGUUGUGAGAGUGUACUCGUAUAUUCAGAUCUGGGCUGCCUUAUUCUUGUUUUAUCUUGCUGCCAUUUUAACUGCAUUUGGUUGUAUGUGGAGCUUGGUGCUUUAGCUAUUAAAUGGCUUGGUUGCUGUGGCAGGUACUCAAGAAAGGGGCAGAGAUUGUUACUGCAGCUCUGCAGUUUGUUGCAGCUGGAAGGCAGACAUUGCAGGCUCAUUUGCCCCAUUGCAGCUUGCGGUUAAGGCUGGGAAAGGGCAGGGAUGGAAUAAGGACCCAUCAUGUCCGGCUGCCACCUUGAUGUUCUGAUCUCAACGGGCUGUCGAAGCCGGGCCUAAAUUCGGGCCUAAGGAAGAGGCCGAGACUUAGCAUUUCUACUUGUAAUAGAAUAGAGUCUUCUCUCUUGUUCAUUUCCAAGCUUUUUCUCCUUUCAAACAAAAUGUAUAGAAUUACUUCUAAAAUUUAGUGCGUAGCAUUCUUCUUCUAUUUUCAUCAUCAAGCAUCUUGUAAACUUAUACUUAGCUUGGAAAUUCAAAAUACUAUGUGUUGAUUACUCAUGAACAUAAAUAAAUACUCUUUCAUCUUUCUUUCUUUAAA
Long non-coding RNA from Salvia splendens (bonfire salvia), 1484 nucleotides. RefSeq lists it as uncharacterized. The record is from RefSeq and is a predicted model, not a curated record. NCBI's taxonomy places the organism in Eukaryota, Viridiplantae, Streptophyta, Magnoliopsida, Lamiales, Lamiaceae. The transcript is spliced from 2 exons.